GACGAACGCUGGCGGCGUGCUUAACACAUGCAAGUCGAGCGGAAAGGCCCUUCGGGGUACUCGAGCGGCGAACGGGUGAGUAACACGUGAGUAAUCUGCCCUUGGCUUUGGGAUAACUACCGGAAACGGUGGCUAAUACCGGAUACGACAACCGUCUGCAUGGGCUGGUUGUGGAAAGUUUUUUCGGCCAGGGAUGUGCUCGCGGCCUAUCAGCUUGUUGGUGGGGUCAUGGCCUACCAAGGCUUCGACGGGUAGCCGGCCUGGGAGGGUGACCGGCCACACUGGGACUGAGACACGGCCCAGACUCCUACGGGAGGCAGCAGUGGGGAAUAUUGGACAAUGGGCGGAAGCCUGCUCCAGCAACGCCGCGUGAGGGAUGACGGCCUUCGGGUUGUAAACCUCUUUCAGUACCGACGAAGCGCCGAUGAUGGUGGUGACGGUAGGUACAGAAGAAGCACCGGCCAACUACGUG
This 472-nucleotide ribosomal RNA is filed under the name uncultured bacterium. Its description in RNAcentral is "partial 16S ribosomal RNA". It matches the Rfam family "Bacterial small subunit ribosomal RNA", at positions 28 to 507 of the family's 1533-position model. The record is from RNAcentral.